This 442-nucleotide ribosomal RNA is filed under the name uncultured bacterium. RNAcentral describes it as "bacterial SSU rRNA". It matches the Rfam family "Bacterial small subunit ribosomal RNA", at positions 366 to 793 of the family's 1533-position model. The record is from RNAcentral.
GCACGAAUGGGCGCAAGCCUGAUGCAGCCAUGCCGCGUGUAUGAAGAAGGCCUUACGGGUUGUUAAAGUACUUUCAGCAGUGAGGGAAGGCGGGUACGUUAAUAGCGUGCUCGUUUUGACGUUUAGCUGCAGAAGAAGCACCGGCUAACUCCGUGCCAGCAGCCGCGGUAAUACGGAGGGUGCGAGCGUUAAUCGGAAUUACUGGGCGUAAAAGCGCAUGCAGGUGGUUUGUUAAGUCAGAUGUGAAAAGCCCGGGGCUCAACCUCGGAAUUGCAUUUGAAACUGGCAGACUAGAGUACUGUAGAGGGGGUAGAAUUUCAGGUGUAGCGGUGAAAUGCGUAGAGAUCUGAAGGAAUACCGGUGGCGAAGGCGGCCCCCUGGACAGAUACUGACACUCAGAUGCGAAAGCGUGGGGAGCAAACAGGAUUAGAUACCCUGGUAG